AGUGAACGCUGGCGGUAGGCCUAACACAUGCAAGUCGAACGGCAGCACAGUAAGAGCUUGCUCUUACGGGUGGCGAGUGGCGGACGGGUGAGGAAUACAUCGGAAUCUACGGUUUCGUGGGGGAUAACGUAGGGAAACUUACGCUAAUACCCCAUACGACCUACGGGUGGAAGCAGGGGAUCUUCGGACCUUGCGCGAUUGAAUGAGCCGAUGUCGGAUUAGCUAGUUGGCGGGGUAAAGGCCCACCAAGGCGACGAUCCGUAGCUGGUCUGAGAGGAUGAUCAGCCACACUGGAACUGAGACACGGUCCAGACUCCUACGGGAGGCAGCAGUGGGGAAUAUUGGACAAUGGGCGCAAGCCUGAUCCAGCCAUACCGCGUGGGUGAAGAAGGCCUUCGGGUUGUAAAGCCCUUUUGUUGGGAAAGAAAAGCAGCAGGUUAAUACCCCGCUGUUCUGACGGUACCCAAAGAAUAAGCACCGGCUAACUUCGUG
RNAcentral lists this ribosomal RNA (492 nucleotides) under uncultured bacterium. RNAcentral describes it as "partial 16S ribosomal RNA". It matches the Rfam family "Bacterial small subunit ribosomal RNA", at positions 29 to 507 of the family's 1533-position model. The record is from RNAcentral.